AUCUAAAGAAGGAAGACUCGCACGCUGGAAAAGUUUUACUUCGUACAUGGCUUGAACGGAAUAAGCACAUUUUCCCUGCUUCACGGUGGGAACCCUACGAUCCUAAUAAAAGCUACGGAAAGUACACAAUUGCAGACAAGUCAAAAAAUUAAGCGGCGUACCGUUUUAUACAUUGUGUCGGGUUUCAUUUUUAUCGUGAAUAAAGUUACUGAAUUUAAUAUACAUUAUUAAA
Folsomia candida is the source of this 232-nucleotide long non-coding RNA. RefSeq lists it as uncharacterized. The transcript has 2 exons. The record is from RefSeq and is a predicted model, not a curated record. NCBI's taxonomy places the organism in Eukaryota, Metazoa, Arthropoda, Collembola, Entomobryomorpha, Isotomidae.